RNAcentral lists this ribosomal RNA (253 nucleotides) under uncultured bacterium. RNAcentral's name for it is "partial 16S ribosomal RNA". It matches the Rfam family "Bacterial small subunit ribosomal RNA", at positions 524 to 776 of the family's 1533-position model. The record is from RNAcentral.
GACGUAGGGGGCCAGCGUUGCUCGGAAUUACUGGGUGUAAAGGGUUCGUAGGCGGUGUGGCAAGUCGGGAGUGAAAUCUCUGGGCUCAACCCAGAGUCUGCUUCCGAAACUGCUGUGCUUGAGUGUGGGAGAGGCGCGUGGAAUUGCAGGUGUAGCGGUGAAAUGCGUAGAUAUCUGCAGGAACACCCGUGGCGAAAGCGGCUCUCUGGAACGGUACUGACGCUGAGACGCGAAAGCGUGGGGAGCGAACAGG